RNAcentral lists this ribosomal RNA (776 nucleotides) under uncultured Neocallimastigales. Its description in RNAcentral is "partial large subunit ribosomal RNA". It matches the Rfam family "Eukaryotic large subunit ribosomal RNA", at positions 23 to 645 of the family's 3401-position model. Lineage: Eukaryota; Fungi; Neocallimastigomycota; Neocallimastigomycetes; Neocallimastigales. The record is from RNAcentral.
AGAGAGAGACAUGCGCGCAUAUCAAUAAGCGGAGGAAAAGAAACUAACUAGGAUUCCCUCAGUAACGGCGAGUGAAGCGGGAAGAGCUCAAAUUUGAAAUCUUCAAGGGUUCUACCUUGACGAAUUGUAGUUUAAAGAAGUGGUUUCUGUUGAGGUUUUGGUAAAAGUUCUUUGGAAUAGGACAUCAUAGAGGGUGAGAAUCCCGUAUUUGACCAUUACUUUCCAACUUUGUGAUACACUUUCAAAGAGUCGGAUUGUUUGGGAAUGCAGUCCAAAAUGGGUGGUAAAUUUCAUCUAUAGCUAAAUACUGGCGAGAGACCGAUAGCGAACAAGUACCGUGAGGGAAAGAUGAAAAGAACUUUGAAAAGAGAGUUAAACAGUACGUGAAAUUGUCAAAAGGGAAGCGUUUGACACCAGUGUUGUUUUCUCGAAAAUCAAUUAAAAAAGGCAGGAUUUUGUGUUGUAUUGACUUUAUCAGCUUUCUGCACUCUUUUCUUGUCUUUUUUAAUGCACUUUUCGUUUAACAAGUCAACAUCAAUUUCUUUUGUUGUAAAAGGGUCAUUGGAAGGUGGCUUUCUUUUCGGAGAAAGUGUUUAUAGCCUUUGACUCCUGCAAUCGGAGAGACUGAGGUCUGCAGCGUAGAUCCUUCGGGGUUAGAUACAUUUGUGCUAAGUUAUAGCCUUUUAUAGACAACUUGUUGACUAUGAUUAGUCAUUGUAGCUUACUCGCUUAUGCUAUUUUACCUACGCUUAGGAUGUUGAUGUGAUACUGCGAGC